CCAGCUCCAAUAGCGUAUAUUAACGUUGUUGCAGUUAAAAAGCUCGUAGUUGAAGUGYGUUUUUGUGUUGAUGAGUGACUUCGGUUAUUUAUGAAUACGAAUUCCAUUAAUAAGAUUCAUAGGGGGUAUUAAUUUAUCGUUUAUGAGUGUUAUUUCAUUUACUGUGAGAAAAUUAGAGUGUUCAAAGCAGACGUUUGUUUGAAUAGAUUAGCAUGGAAUAAUAGUAUAUGGCUUACGAUAUAUAUGUUAUGGUUGAAUAUUGUAAGUAAGAUUAAUAGGAACAGUUGGGGGUAUUCAUAUUCAAUAGUCAGAGGUGAAAUUCUCGGUUUUAUGGAAGAUGAACGAAUGCGAAAGCAUUUACCAAGGAUGUUUUCAUUAUUCAUGAACGAAAGUUAGGGGAUCGAAGAGGAUUAGAUACCCUCGUAGUCUUAACUAUUAACGAUACCGACUAGGGCUUAGUGGAAGUCUUUGUGUUYUCAUUAGGACCUUAUGAGUAAUCAAAGUCUUUGGGUUCCGGGGGGAGUAUGGUCGCAAGGCUGAAACUUAAAGGAAUUGACGGAAGGGCACCACCAGGAGUGGAGCCUGCGGCUUAAUUUGACUCAAC
RNAcentral lists this ribosomal RNA (604 nucleotides) under uncultured Blastocystis sp. Its description in RNAcentral is "bacterial SSU rRNA". It matches the Rfam family "Eukaryotic small subunit ribosomal RNA", at positions 587 to 1215 of the family's 1831-position model. The record is from RNAcentral. Lineage: Eukaryota; Bigyra; Opalinata; Blastocystidae.